CAGUCGCCACGGUAAUACGGAGGGAGCUAGCGUUGUUCGGAAUUACUGGGCGUAAAGCGCGCGUAGGCGGUUACUCAAGUCAGAGGUGAAAGCCCGGGGCUCAACCCCGGAACUGCCUUUGAAACUAGGUGACUAGAAUCUUGGAGAGGUCAGUGGAAUUCCGAGUGUAGAGGUGAAAUUCGUAGAUAUUCGCAGGAACACCAGUGGCGAAGGCGGCUAACUGGUCCAUAACUGACGCUGAGGUGCGAAAGCGUGGGGAGCAAACAGGAUUAGAUACCCCCGUAGUCCCUGUCUCUUAUAC
This 301-nucleotide ribosomal RNA is filed under the name uncultured bacterium. Its description in RNAcentral is "partial 16S ribosomal RNA". It matches the Rfam family "Bacterial small subunit ribosomal RNA", at positions 509 to 807 of the family's 1533-position model. The record is from RNAcentral.